AAUAGAUACCCUGGUAGUCCACCCCGUAAACGUUGGGAACUAGUUGUGGGGUCCUUUCCACGGAUUCCGUGACGCAGCUAACGCAUUAAGUUCCCCGCCUGGGGAGUACGGCCGCAAGGCUAAAACUCAAAGGAAUUGACGGGGACCCGCACAAGCGGCGGAGCAUGCGGAUUAAUUCGAUGCAACGCGAAGAACCUUACCAAGGCUUGACAUACACCAGAACACCCUAGAAAUAGGGGACUCUUUGGACACUGGUGAACAGGUGGUGCAUGGUUGUCGUCAGCUCGUGUCGUGAGAUGUUGGGUUAAGUCCCGCAACGAGCGCAACCCUCGUUCUAUGUUGCCAGCACGUAAUGGUGGGAACUCAUGGGAUACUGCCGGGGUCAACUCGGAGGAAGGUGGGGAUGACGUCAAAUCAUCGAUGCCCCUUAUGUCUUGGGCUUCACGCAUGCUACAAUGGCCGGUACAAAGGGCUGCAAUACCGUGAGGUGGAGCGAAUCCCGAAAAGCCGGUCCAGUUCGGAUUGAGGUCUGCAACUCGACCUCA
Molecule: ribosomal RNA, 545 nt
Filed under: uncultured bacterium
Lineage: Bacteria
Description: bacterial SSU rRNA
Rfam family: Bacterial small subunit ribosomal RNA
Source: RNAcentral